Molecule: ribosomal RNA, 485 nt
Filed under: uncultured bacterium
Lineage: Bacteria
Description: partial 16S ribosomal RNA
Rfam family: Bacterial small subunit ribosomal RNA
Source: RNAcentral
AUUGAACGCUGGCGACAUGCCUUACACAUGCAAGUCGAACGGCAGCACGGGUGCUUGCACCUGGUGGCGAGUGGCGAACGGGUGAGUAAUACAUCGGAACAUGUCCUUUAGUGGGGGAUAGCCCGGCGAAAGCCGGAUUAAUACCGCAUACGAUCUACGGAUGAAAGCGGGGGACCUUCGGGCCUCGCGCUAUAGGGUUGGCCGAUGGCUGAUUAGCUAGUUGGGGGGGUAAAGGCCUACCAAGGCGACGAUCAGUAGCUGGUGUGGGAGGACGACCAGCCAAGCUGGGAAGGGGCGCCGACCCAAUGCCCUAGGGGGGGCAGAAGUGGGGAUUUUUGGACAGGGGGGGAAAGCGUCUUCCAGCAAUGCCGGGUGUGGGAAGAAGGCCUCGGGGUUGUAAAGCCCUUUUUGCCGGAAAAAAAUCCUGGGCCCAAAAAGGGCGGGGGGGUACGGGAACCGGAAAAAAAGGCCCCGGUUAACAAGGU